This 300-nucleotide ribosomal RNA is filed under the name Cobetia sp. RNAcentral describes it as "bacterial SSU rRNA". It matches the Rfam family "Bacterial small subunit ribosomal RNA", at positions 1163 to 1462 of the family's 1533-position model. The record is from RNAcentral. Lineage: Bacteria; Pseudomonadati; Pseudomonadota; Gammaproteobacteria; Oceanospirillales; Halomonadaceae.
CCGGAGGAAGGUGGGGACGACGUCAAGUCAUCAUGGCCCUUACGGGUAGGGCUACACACGUGCUACAAUGGCACGUACAAAGGGUUGCAAUCCUGCGAAGGUGAGCCAAUCACAUAAAGUGUGUCUCAGUCCGGAUUGGAGUCUGCAACUCGACUCCAUGAAGUCGGAAUCGCUAGUAAUCGUGGAUCAGAAUGACGCGGUGAAUACGUUCCCGGGCCUUGUACACACCGCCCGUCACACCAUGGGAGUGGAUUGCUCCAGAAGUGGAUAGUCUAACCUUCGGGAGGACGAUCACCAUCC